Molecule: ribosomal RNA, 446 nt
Filed under: uncultured bacterium
Lineage: Bacteria
Description: partial 16S ribosomal RNA
Rfam family: Bacterial small subunit ribosomal RNA
Source: RNAcentral
CCUACGGGGGGCUGCAGUCGAGAAUCAUUCACAAUGGGGGAAACCCUGAUGGUGCGACGCCGCGUGGGGGAAUGAAGGUCUUCGGAUUGUAAACCCCUGUCAUGUGGGAGCAAAUUAAAAAGAUAGUACCACAAGAGGAAGAGACGGCUAACUCUGUGCCAGCAGCCGCGGUAAUACAGGGGUCUCAAGCGUUGUUCGGAAUCACUGGGCGUAAAGCGUGCGUAGGCUGUUUCGUAAGUCGUGUGUGAAAGGCGCGGGCUCAACCCGCGGACGGCACAUGAUACUGCGAGACUAGAGUAAGGGAGGGGGAACCGGAAUUCUCGGUGUAGCAGUGAAAUGCGUAGAUAUCGAGAGGAACACUCGUGGCGAAGGCGGGUUCCUGGACAUUAACUGACGCUGAGGCACGAAGGCCAGGGGAGCGAAAGGGAUUAGAUACCCUGGUAGUC